GGGGAUUGCGCGGCUGAUGUUUAGAACGCCUAGUCAAACCAACCGGCUCGCUCUUGUUUCAGCAAACCCUGACUUACGUCUCCUAUUUGACUUGAGGCGGCACAGUGGCCAAGUCGAUUGGCCGUGGCAAGUGACCCUCCCGGUGGCUGAAGUGUUCUGAGGACUGGCGAGAGAGGCGCGCCAUGCUUGCACCCUGCUCAGGUUGGGAGCUUGGCUGCUUCCGUCUCUGUCUCCGUCAGGUCCGACUGUGGGCUGGCGCUGGGCGCUGGGCUUGCUGGGCUUGCCAAGCCAGGCCGUACAGCUCAGGUGGGGGCGAGCGCUGGCCCGGAUCGGAGACUGAGGUCCCUCCGCCUGGCCCGGCGCGCCGAACUCUGAAGGAGUGGACACUGCAGGUUUAGAUAUCAAGUCAUCAGGGUCUGGCUGUGUAAAAGUUCAAAGUAUUGAGUGUGAUAAUUGCAAAAUUGAAACAGAGCAUGGGACUAGCAUCUUGCAGUCUGUUAAGGUAAUAUAACAUUACAAAGCAAGAUGGGUAACAUCACAGUAGAUUCGUCUUCUGGAUGUCUAAAAGCCUCAACUAAUCAGGGUGCCAUAGAUGUUUAUGUCAGCCAACUGGGGAAAGUGAAAUUGAAAUCCCAUAAAGGUUCUAUUAUUGUCAAGGUCCCAUCUUCACUUCAAGCUCAUUUACAGUUAUCAGGGAAAGAGGUUGAUGUGAACUCAGAAGUCCAUGUUCAGGAAAUGGCUGAAGCUCGUAAAGAUGAUGUUGUAACAGUGAC
RNAcentral lists this long non-coding RNA (773 nucleotides) under Pan troglodytes (chimpanzee). RNAcentral's name for it is "long non-coding RNA NONPTRT015801". Lineage: Eukaryota; Metazoa; Chordata; Mammalia; Primates; Hominidae. The record is from RNAcentral.